UCUUCUUAAAUGAAAAAGCUGAAACAACAAGGCAAUGAAAGAAGCGCUUAUGCACGUCAAGAGGUUGCGUUCUUCAUCCAGUUCAUCGCUUGUGCCAGAAUUAUUGCUUUCAAGAGCCAUCAACACCGUGGACAUCGUGUAUUGCGUCAUCGUCACCGUGUUCGUGGAUUCCGCGUUUUCAUGUGCGUCUUCUCCUUCGAUUUGUGCAAAAUGUAUGAGCAGCAAACAGAUUCAUAUUCACCAUGUGGCUUCAUCAUCCGGUCGAAUUCGUCGUCUUCAUCGACUCCGUAUUUCAAGAUUCUACAUCGAAACUAAAGAUCUAUGAAAAUCCGCAUCUCGCACGUGGAAUGGUUAAGCGCCGCGUAUGAAUUAAUAAUCGAAUCAAGAAGAAAACUUACUGGAUUGGAUUUGUUGAAUCAGGUUAUUUACGUACGCGGAAUCGGAGCUCCGACACUAUGCUUUUUGCUUCUUCUCUUUCCGUUCCGGUGGUCUGAGGAUGAAUUGGAGAUAAGUACUGAGGUCUGAAUGGGAUGGUGAUGUCGGCAAAUUUGAUGAUUCUGCCACUGCAGGGACUUGCUCCAGGAUGAUUAUGCAGGAUGUACCUUAAGGGGUUUUGCUGUGAUCUGUUAAACAAAUAUCUUGCAGGUUGUAUGUUAAUCUUGGAGUUGUGCUUGGAUAUGACUUGGAUGAAAAUAGCAUGUAGUUUGAUUUUUUUUUUAGAUUGAAUUAGGAGUUAUGAUUUUAUUAUAAAUAUGCAUUGAUUUGGUUGAAUGCUACUUGUUUUUUUCAAUUUGGAAAGUUGUAAAGAUGGUUAUGUAAUGAAUGAAAGUUUGAAUGCAAUAAAUUGCAUUAUGGAAAGCUUUUUUA
Molecule: long non-coding RNA, 867 nt
Organism: Lathyrus oleraceus (garden pea)
Lineage: Eukaryota; Viridiplantae; Streptophyta; Magnoliopsida; Fabales; Fabaceae
Exons: 3
Source: RefSeq, a predicted model, not a curated record